GACAGUAUGUCCGAGUGGUUAAGGAGCAAGACUUGAAUUACCUAAAUGAAAUCUUGUAGCGUUUCGCUGCGCAGGUUCAAAUCCUGCUGCUGUCG
This 95-nucleotide transfer RNA is filed under the name Neolecta irregularis DAH-3. It matches the Rfam family "tRNA". Rfam says of the family: Transfer RNA (tRNA) molecules are approximately 80 nucleotides in length. Their secondary structure includes four short double-helical elements and three loops (D, anti-codon, and T loops). Further hydrogen bonds mediate the characteristic L-shaped molecular structure. tRNAs have two regions of fundamental functional importance: the anti-codon, which is responsible for specific mRNA codon recognition, and the 3' end, to which the tRNAs corresponding amino acid is attached (by aminoacyl-tRNA synthetases). tRNAs cope with the degeneracy of the genetic code in two manners: having more than one tRNA (with a specific anti-codon) for a particular amino acid; and 'wobble' base-pairing, i.e. permitting non-standard base-pairing at the 3rd anti-codon position. Lineage: Eukaryota; Fungi; Ascomycota; Neolectomycetes; Neolectales; Neolectaceae. The record is from Rfam by way of RNAcentral.